GGCCACUGCUAUUGGGGUCCGAUUAAGCCAUGCGAGUCAUGGGGCGCCUUGUGCGCACCGGCGGACGGCUCAGUAACACGUCGGUAACCUACCCUCGGGAGGGGGAUAACCCCGGGAAACUGGGGCUAAUCUCCCAUAGGUUUAGGGCACUGGAAGGUCCCUAAACCGAAAGGGGCUCUGCCCGCCCGAGGAUGGGCCGGCGGCCGAUUAGGUAGUUGGUGGGGUAACGGCCCACCAAGCCCAUAAUCGGUACGGGCAGUGAGAGCUGGAGCCCGGAGAUGGACACUGAGACACGGGUCCAGGCCCUACGGGGCGCAGCAGGCGCGAAACCUCCGCAAUGCUCGAAAGAGCGACGGGGGGACCCCAAGUGCCGUGGUACAACCACGGCUUUUCCGGAGUGUAAGAAGCUCCGGGAAUAAGGGCUGGGCAAGGCCGGUGGCAGCCGCCGCGGUAAUACCGGCGGCCCGAGUGGUGGCCACUAUUAUUGGGCCUAAAGCGUCCGUAGCCGGGCUUGUAAGUCCCUGGCGAAAUCCCACGGCUCAACCGUGGGGCUUGCUGGGGAUACUGCAAGCCUUGGGACCGGGAGAGGCCGGGGGUACUCCUGGGGUAGGGGUGAAAUCCUAUAAUCCCAGGAGGACCGCCAGUGGCGAAGGCGCCCGGCUGGAACGGGUCCGACGGUGAGGGACGAAGGCCAGGGGAGCAAACCGGAUUAGAUACCCGGGUAGUCCUGGCUGUAAAGGAUGCGGGCUAGGUGUUGCUUGGACCUCGAGUCCAAGCAGUGCCGCAGGGAAGCCGUUAAGCCCGCCGCCUGGGGAGUACGGCCGCAAGGCUGAAACUUAAAGGAAUUGGCGGGGGAGCACUACAAGGGGUGGAGCGUGCGGUUUAAUUGGAUUCAAUGCCGGGAACCUCACCGGGGGCGACGGCAGGAUGAAGGCCAGGCUGAAGGUCUUGCCGGCACGCCGAGAGGAGGUGCAUGGCCGCCGUCAGCUCGUACCGUGAGGCGUCCACUUAAGUGUGGUAACGAGCGAGACCCGCGCCCCCAGUUGCCAGCCCUUCCCGUUGGGAAGGAGGCACUCUGGGGGGACUGCCGGCGAUAAGCCGGAGGAAGGAGCGGGCGACGGUAGGUCAGUAUGCCCCGAAACCCCCGGGCUACACGCGCGCUACAAUGGGCGGGACAAUGGGAUCCAACCCCGAAAGGGGAAGGAAAUCCCCUAAACCCGCCCCCAGUUCGGAUUGCGGGCUGCAACUCGCCCGCAUGAAGCUGGAAUCCCUAGUACCCGCGUGUCAUCAUCGCGCGGCGAAUACGUCCCUGCUCCUUG
Molecule: ribosomal RNA, 1319 nt
Filed under: uncultured archaeon
Lineage: Archaea
Description: bacterial SSU rRNA
Rfam family: Archaeal small subunit ribosomal RNA
Source: RNAcentral